UUUGGUGAUCAUAGCACCAAUGAAACACCCGAUCCCAUCCCGAACUCGGCAGUUAAGCAUGGUUGCGCCGAUGGUACUGCAACUUAAGUUGUGGGAGAGUAGGUCAUCGCCAAUC
Molecule: ribosomal RNA, 115 nt
Filed under: Paracoccaceae bacterium
Lineage: Bacteria; Pseudomonadati; Pseudomonadota; Alphaproteobacteria; Rhodobacterales; Paracoccaceae
Source: RNAcentral